Molecule: non-coding RNA, 2409 nt
Organism: Solanum lycopersicum (tomato)
Lineage: Eukaryota; Viridiplantae; Streptophyta; Magnoliopsida; Solanales; Solanaceae
Source: RefSeq, a predicted model, not a curated record
UCUCAGAUUGUUAAAAAUACAUUGCUUGAGGCCGGAAUACAAUUUAGAGAGCCAUUUUUUAGGGAGAUCCUUUAUUUGAACAUGUGCGUGCAAGAGGAACCAGACGUGAACGGAUGGGGCAUAGAGGUAGAGCUCGAGGAUACGCUCUAGGACGUGGCGCUGGUGGUAUACCUAUUCCUCCAGACAUAGAGGCAGAGGUGAGAGUAGAGGCUGAUGAUUUGCAUGUUCAUCAGUUUGGCACGUCAAACAUCAUGAAUUUAUUACAUAUGUCAUUUGAUCUUAUUCAAGAUAGACUCGAGAUGUGGAAGGAAUCGGACGUAUGAGUUAUGAAUCAACAAUAGAUGUUGGAGAUUAUUUAUCUGAUAUCGCGGUAAGCAUUAACAAUUUAUUAUAAACUUAAAACAUUACUAACUUAUAUAAGUAUUUCAAAAUAAAUAAAUAAAACUAUUUAUAUAUUUUUGUAGGGCACAUCAGGUAUUGUCCAUUGUGACACCAAAGAUACUACUAUUUAUAACACUCAAGAUUUUAUUGAAUGGUUAAUUGAUGAUCUGAUUGAGUCGCAGAUUCGUGUUAUUUAUCUAUUUAAUACAGUUAUUUCCUUUAAUUACUGAAUGAGGGGGUCUUUUGUUUUUCUUUUGUUUUAGCUAUUGAGAAUUCGAGAAAAGAUGGAAUCGUCAACUUAUGCCUUACAUUAUACUUUUUUUUUCAUUUUUGCUUUACAGGGAAUUUUUGUAUUUUUGUCAUUUAUUUUUGAAAUAUUUAUAGUAGUUAUUAACACUUUGAUUUUAUAUUAAAUUAUGUUUUAAUUAUUUUUUAGAUUCAUACUACGGGACCUUCAUCUACAGUGGAGGAGAGUGACAAUCAUAGAGGAUAUUGUUCCGACAGUUAAUGAGGGUCCCAAUGUUACACAGGUUUAUGUUAUUUAUUUAUUUUUGAAAUGUUUAUAUUAAUUAUUAAAACUUUGAUUUUGUAUUAAAUUUAGUUUUAAUAAUUUUAGAUUCAUACUACGGGCCCUUUAUCUACAGUGGAGGAGAGGCCCACGACAAUCAUAGAGGAUAUUAUUCCGACAGUUAAUGAGGGUCCCGAUGUUACACAACUUUGUGUUAUUUAUUUAUUUUUAAAAUAUUUAUAUUAAUUAUUAAAACUUUUAUUUUAUAUUAAAUUAAGUUUUAAUAAUUUUAGAUUCAUACUACGGGCCCUUCAUCUACAGUGGAGGAGAGUCCACGACAAUCAUAGAGGCUAUUGUUCCGACAGUUAAUGAGGGUCCCGAUGUUACACAGAUUCAUACUACGGGACCUUCAUCUACAGUGGAGGAGAGUCCCACGAUGAUCAUAGAGGAUGUUGUUCGACAGUUAAUGAGGAUCCCAAUGUUACACAGGUUUAUGUUAUUUUAUUUUUUUUGAAAUAUUUAUAUUAUUUAUUUUGUAGACUUUUAUUUUGCAUCACAUUGCAUAUUCCUAUCAUUUAUACUUUUAUUUUUUUAAUUUCUACUACCUAACUUUGUAUUUGCAGACCACGUUAUCACCACUCUCGACUCCAGAUGUUACUUUCAUUAUGUCAGUGGAUGAUAUGCCGCAAACACCCGAAAGAAAAAAACUUGUUAAAAGAAUUGUAAAGAAUGUGAACAUAAAGGAUCUUCCGACUGAAAAAAGGAAGAGGAACAAUGAAGAUGAAGAUGGAUAUACGGGACUUAGACCGCGAGAUGUCUUACGAAUUUCAAAAAAGGAUUGUGGAACAUAAUAUUAUUAUAUUUGUGUAUGAAUCUUUUUUUGAGGGUGUAUAGUAAAUUAUUCUAAUCAUAUAUAGUUUUAUUUUGGUGUAUGUAUCUUUUUUUUUUCUGGUGUAUAGUAUUAUUGAUUUAGUUGUGUAUAUUAUUAUUAUUUUGUGUAUGUAUUUUUUUUCUUUUAAAAAGUGAAUAAAAAAAUUGAAAAUUUAAACAUGACUUGAAGAUGAUCAAAAGUUUGAAUAAAAAGUUGCAUAAAAAUUGAUACAAGAAUAAAUUAACACAAUUAAACAUCUUUCUUUAGCUACUACCACCAUAUGAGGCGUUUCGAGUUCGUGAAUGACAAUUGCGCCUAUCAUGGCCUAUUUGUUUGCACGUUGAGCACUUGCGAGUGAGUGUACUUGCAAGAACAUCCAUUUCAUUUUGUAUACGGGUGGUUUUAUUUACGCCCACUUUUCGUAAAUAAUUUUUAUUUGCUAUCAUAAGAAAGGGACUAUCAGGCCAAUACUUUUCACCGCCGAGUGGAUUGAAUUGUCCAAAGUAGGAUUUUUUGUAGCUACGCAAUUCUGGUGCCAUAUGCUCCCAUGCUUGAUACCCAAUUUGGUCAAAACCCUUUAUUGCAUGAGAACAUGGAAUAUGGUAUGAUUGCCAUUUACCACAUUGACAUUUUCCUUGUGAUGCAUUUA